UAAAUAUGGUUUUGGUAGAUAUGCAUAUACGUGUAUUUUAGGUGAUCCAUUUGAUAUGAAUUAUUGAUGUGUUAUUGAUGUGAUAUGUGUGCAUAUUUGUGAUAUAUGUGAUUAAAUGGUGACUUGUAUACAUUAUGGAAUCAUGUGAAAGUUGUAUACAUAUUUGAUGAUGAUUUGUAAAUGAUGAUGGAUGAUAAUAUGUACAUGAAAUCGAUAUGUUGUGAAAUAUGACUUUUGUACCUCGUUUAGUAUUUAUAAAUGAAUACUUGUGGAUUGUUG
Molecule: long non-coding RNA, 279 nt
Filed under: Lathyrus oleraceus (garden pea)
Lineage: Eukaryota; Viridiplantae; Streptophyta; Magnoliopsida; Fabales; Fabaceae
Description: Pisum sativum (pea) long non-coding RNA (PSAT_LNC015181)
Source: RNAcentral